This is a long non-coding RNA of Betta splendens (Siamese fighting fish), 3749 nucleotides long. RefSeq lists it as uncharacterized. NCBI's taxonomy places the organism in Eukaryota, Metazoa, Chordata, Actinopteri, Anabantiformes, Osphronemidae. The record is from RefSeq and is a predicted model, not a curated record. The transcript has 2 exons.
CGUGCCUGAGGGAAGAGGGAGGGGGGAGGGGGGGGGGGUGAGCAAGUCAUGGUUUGAACAACAAAGGGAGAAGCCAUUUUUGUCCUCAGCUGAGUGGCUCAUAAUGAGUGGACGUGCAUAUCUAGGGCAGCAGUGAGGCUGUUACAGAGACAGAUCUUUACACCCUAGUGCCCUUAACAGAGAACACAACACGUGAUAUGGAGGCUGAUGAUGAAGCUUAAUGUGGACAUUACACAUUUAAGACCACGAGGAGUCGACCCAGAGAGCAGAAAUAGAACUGCUGACGCUGUCCUUGGAUCCCUUUCAUUAUAAAGAACACUUUACACUGUAAUUUGUAAUGUAAUCUAAAAGCCGGCCUGCGUUUUGAGCUACAGAAAUCUAAUGGACAUGAUUCCAAAGACAGUGACUUAAUGUGAUACUGAAUGUUCCCACAGUUGGGUGGAAUUUUAAGUGGUUUACUGUGUUCCUGUGGAAAGAGUGUGAUCGCGCCGACAGCUCUCGUUUGGUGCAAAUCAGAGUGAAGAUGAUAACUGGUUGGUUCAAUUACACUGGCCACAGUCACAGGCCCUGAGGUUUCAGUUAGAUGACCCAACAUGCAGCGGGAGAUUAUGGCUAAGGUGUUAAGGAGCCUGACGCUGUGUUCCAACUGGGCAUAAAGCCUCCACUCCACCAGAGCCAUAGGCUCAGAACAGAGGAGGAUGGGGGAAGGAGGCCUUAAAGACACAGGAGUCGCAUAGAAUUUUAGUCUCAAGGCUCUUUUUGCAUAAAGAGGUAUUGUAGUAUUUAUUGGCACUAUUACUCGAAAGUCAUCUGAUUUCAAGCAGAGCCCCAGAAUAAAACAUUAACUGCAAGCACAACAAAGCCAUUUUACUCCAAACAGGUCAACAGAAACCUACCUUAUAAUCGUUUAUUUCUUCAUUUAGGAUGUCGUCUCCAUUGCUGAUUUUCUCUGCAGGUUUCUUGGCCUUCUCAAUCUUUAUCCUCAGUUUAGAAAUGUCCUCCUGAAACACAUUUAAAGUCAAAAGGCUCAGUUUGAUAUAUUUUUUUAUAAGAUUUUUUUUUUUUACACACGUUUUUUGGGUGCACUUAUUAAUUUGUUUAACUUUACCUGUGCUCGUCUGGCAUUAAAGGACUCUUUCUCCCUGGAGAUGCUGUUCUCCACCACCUCUUCUCUGACCAGACUGAGUCUCUGCUGAACCUGCUCCAGCUGAGUUCGUACCUCCUCCGACAACAGCGCCGACUCCUGAGCCUGAGGAUCAAAAAGAGGUCUUCAUUUGUGCCUAAUGGGUCAUUACAGUUACUGCUUAAGCAACAGCUAAAUGCUUCUUUGACUCCGUGCCUCGUUUUUACAGAGUGAUGGUACCUUGCGUUUGUUCAUGUCCAAAGCUUGUGUUCGAAGAGCCAGCUCCCUCUCUGCAGUGCUGAUGGUCCCCUGAAGGAGGCGCUCCUUCUCCUCGAGCUUCCUCACCACCUGCAGCUGGGCAUCGACCUAACCAAAGGUUUUAAGAUCACAGAGCUAAUUAGAGAUCAUAGAACAUAAAAUGUCUAUGGUAAAACUGAAAACGUAUUGGCCAGAACAGUGCAGAGAAAUGAGUGGGUGUAAGAGCACCAGGUAGACUUAUUGUUUUUUCAGCGUGUCCUGGCAUAUUUAAGGUUUAUUUUUCUUUUCAGGUUCAGCUUUGUGGAGUUGCCUCAUGGCUCACCUGAGUUUUUAACGUGAGCAGUUGGUCGGCCAGCUCCUCCUUCUCUUCUUUUAACAACUUGUGGAUCUGGUUGGACUUGAUCCGCUCGCUCAUCAACUUGAAGUUGGCAUCAUCUUUUUCUCUGAGCUGCUGCAUAAGGCGAAUGUUUUGUUCCUGCAUGUCCUCGAAGGCCUGACCAGUCACGUCCAUCUCGCUCAGCAGCGCGUCCUCCUCCUGUAGAGGAAGCACAGAGGAGUCAGCGUGUCAAAUGAAAAGUGAACGUGGUUUGUGCAAGUACACAAAGUAACUGCUGGACAAACCUGUUUGGCUAUAGACAGUUUCUUGUUGAGGAUGUCGAUCUGCUCCUCCACAGACCGGAUCUUCCUCAGUGCUUCUUCAUCUGCCAUUUUCUUGCCCUCCCUUCUCUCCCUCUCUUCCAGCUCCCUCAACCUUUGUCGCAGCUCUUCUCCCUGAGAGAAGGAAAUUAGACUUACAUAUUUCUGCCUUUCUCAGAUAGAAGAAAAUGAAGGCAAAAACAAACAUUGUGCAUAUCAAGUCAGACAAUAAUUUAAAAUGUGAACAGAUGCUAUGAUGUGCAGAUCACCUCAGACUUUGCCUUCUUCUCUGCAGCCAUGAGCUGAACUUUGUCUCUUUGCUCUUUGGGUGCAGACCGGUACAUGUCCAACAGCAACUUCAUUUCUCUCUGAGACUCCUGUGCUUUCCUGCAGAGUCGCAGUGAGGAACUUUAAUAAAACUAUCAACUAUCAUCCAAAUAAAGAACAGAAGAAUUAAAAGGACUGAAGAAAAAUAUUGAAUAAGAAAACAAUAGUAGCAUUUUAAUCUGCUAUUUCUAAAAACACAUCACUGCUGACCACUAGUGAAUUAGCCACAGAAGCUGCUGAUUCUACAAAAACAAUAAAAAGAAAUUGGUUGAUAAAACGAGACUGAGCUUUUUAAGUCUUACUUGAGUUCUGCUCGGACGAUCUUAAGCUGCUCCAUCUCCUUCCUCUUGGACCCUCCAACCAUAGCUAGGCGCUCUCCAGGUAAGUCCUCAGGUUGACUGCUACUUCCAGGCUUGUCCUUUUCUUCCUUUAUCAUGCUGCUGCUGCUGCUUCCACUCAUGCGUGUCGGCCGUUCUCUCUCUCUGUCUCGCUCUCUAUCUUUCUCCUCUUUCUUUAUAGUGUCUUUCUCUUUCUUUUCUUCCUUCUCUUUCUUCUCUUCUUUGUCAUCCUCCUUCACUGUUGCCUCUGGUUCUGCUCCUUGCUCUAUUUUCACAGAGAUGCCUGUUGAAAAUUAGUAAAAGUCAAAAAGAUAUUAUUCACGUUAUCUCAAUGUCUUACUUUACCGUUUUCACUUCCUUUACAGUGCUCAAAAAUACCAUCAAUACUUCUUUCAGACUAAUAAAUAGUACCUAAGCUUGUAUUGUCAAUUAACAAAGCGUUAAUUACCACUGCUGUUGGGUGUUGAGGAGCCAUUAUCAGGAUCCGUCUUAACCGCAGGUUCUCCAGAAAUGGGAGGAAUGGAGGGCGAAGUUGUCUCAUCCUUCACAUCCAUCUCUGUGCUUGACUGGGAUUGGAGGAUGGCAUUGCCCUUUGAAGCUCGGAGCUAGGGCAGGAACAGGCAUAUGUUGUAAGUUUCAGGAUGGCUUGGUGUCCUUUUCUGUUACUUAAUUUCCAAAACAUUAUAUUAGGUGUACACAAUGUCAUGUUGUGCACUACAUAUAUAAAAGCAGUACUCUACAAACUGGAGCUGAUAGUCUUGACAAUCAGUAGAGUUAAUUUGUGAUAAACUGAACUUCUGUCCUACCUGGUUGAGUUCAGACUGGGCCUCUCUCAGUCUCAACUUGUAUUUCACCACCUCUCCCUUCAUCUGUUGAUUGUGUGUUUGCAGAGUGCUAAUUAAAUGACGCAUCUCCCUGUUAAUUGGACCUGAGACAAAGAGGCAGUCACAUGAAUAAAAACAGUACAAUAGUGAGAUGCUAAAAAAUAAAAUGUUGGACUAUGUAUGAAGCUUUACUGUGUUCUUGGCCAAAACCAUAAACAAGAAUAAACAAGAAUUCUUUUGUUA